GUAUUUAGUUUAAAGGCGCUAGGCCUUGACAUACAUUCUGAUACAUACAUUCGGAGUAUAUGAAACAUAGACCAAGAAACACAAGAACAGCUGGCUUGCGCGCAGCAGUCCUCAAUCCGAGUUGCCUCGAGAAACGUUUCCAAGUCUACAAAAGGUGCACAGGUGGUUAAAAUUGGUGGCAAACGUGCACAUGCCCCGAAGGACCAGCAACAGCUUGACCAAGUUUAUUCAAUAAUGAUCCUUCCGCAGGUUCACCUACGGAAA
This 264-nucleotide unclassified non-coding RNA is filed under the name uncultured fungus. RNAcentral describes it as "sequence contains ITS1". Lineage: Eukaryota; Fungi. The record is from RNAcentral.